RNAcentral lists this long non-coding RNA (4549 nucleotides) under Gossypium barbadense (sea-island cotton). RNAcentral's name for it is "long non-coding RNA (GBAR_LNC016761)". Lineage: Eukaryota; Viridiplantae; Streptophyta; Magnoliopsida; Malvales; Malvaceae. The record is from RNAcentral.
CUUACAUUUAAGAGUCCCAGCAAAUUUAGUGAGUCUUCCAACAAAUAUUGCAGGCUUAGGUUUAAUUAUAUCUUUCUUUUUGAAUUUCAGUCGGGGUGGUGAGGGUGGCCCAGAUGUUACAAAAAAUGCUCCAUUCAUGAACCGGUCUCCUUCUGAUCUCCAUACCCAAUGCCUCCAUUCUGACUCUGAUGCAUAGUUCCUAUUGGUUAUCUAUAGAAAUCCAUUAAACAAAGACAAUUUAGGGGUAUAACCAUAGGUACAUUUCCAGUCACAUUGUGCAUACUACGAUUACAAAAUUAGUAAAUGUUAUUGAUUAAUUUGUUUUAUUUUCAUUUACCUGUUUAGUUAGGGGGUCAUCUGGAGCAAUGAACCUAUUGCCUUGGCUAAUAAUGGUGGGAUGUGUGCUACCACCAAUGGCAUACAAUUUCCAAUGAGUGUAGUCAUUGUUGACGACAUGAAAGUAUCCCCAUCUGCAUCUAGGCAUUCUUUGUAUCAAUUCCUUGCCAAAAUGGUUGAAUGCAAGUGUGACUUGCAUAAAUUGAUCUUUAGAAUAGGUAUCACUUGCACCUAACAAGAUCACCUGAAAGAAAAAUCCAAGAAUGUUUAGUUGAAAACUAGGUUACAAAAUGUGUACCAUGUUGAGUAUUUUAAGGUAAAACUUACAUGAUCAUGAUGGGUGAAAUGGCAAUUUGAGAUGGUGAUGGCAGUGGAACCUUGUAUUGCAUCGAUGAGUCCGUCUUGACACUCAGACAUGGAAAUAUGAUCAAGCCAAAUCUUUGAUGAUCCAAAUAUGGAAAUCCCAUCUCCAUCGCCGACUGUGCGAAAACCAUAAUGAUCUUCAGAGUCCCUAAUUAGGCCACCACUACUUCUAACAACGCGAUGAAUGUGAAUAUUAUGAAUUAUGACAUUGUGCACAAAUUGAAGUGUAAUGCCACAUCCAUAUGCUAUAUGAACAUUUGCUCCACGACCAUCAAUUGUCUUAUGGCUUUGAACCAUCAGCUCUUGUGAUAAUUUAAUGUUCAUAUCAUGGGCAAAAAUUAUCCAUAAUGGCCUCUUUUGAAUCACAGCAUGACGUAAAGUUCCUGGUUUAGGGUUUACGACAUCAUCAUCAGAAUUAUCGUUAACCAAAUAGUAUCCUCCCUUACUCCCUCCACGAGUUUUGUGGCCAAAACCAAGGACACACUUUGCUAGUCUUUUGCGAUUCUUAGCCCAGUUCUUCUUGCAUCUCCAACACCUAUCAAUUGGAUUAACCGCCAUGCAUGGACCAGUGUAUUUCUUAUGUUUACCCCUCAAGUAUCUUCUCGUGCUAUUAGUAAUAACAUCCUUAAAUUCUAAGACUUGGUUGGACAUAGGUUUUUCAAGAACCCUGCAACAAAUUAUCCACAAGUUAUCUCAGAUAAUAUAUAAUGCCUGCAUUUAACAUACAAAUUAAGAAAGUUUUAGGAGAUGGUAACUUGUCAAGGGAACUAACAUUGGAACCUUUGACUUUGAUCCAUCUAAAUAGUGACAUUUUUAUCAUUAAGCUAAAGGCCUAUGAUUAUUACAACUCAAUAACAUUAUGAGUUAAUGGUCCAAAAUACAAAUAUGAUAGAUUGCUAAUAUAACACAGACAAUCAUCGAAACAAGAGUAACAAAGAGAUUGGCUUAGUUAGUUCGUGUAGAUAUUUUUAAUUUGUUACAUUCAAUGGGUUUAUAUUUCAAAUUUCAAUAUAUAUAAUUUCUUUUCUUAUGUUUAAUUUAUAAACAUUUUUUAUAUAAAAAAAAAAGAGAAAAGAGAGAUAAAAUAGAAAGUUAUAAUUUACUUGUUAACAUGAUAGUUCAGGUGACAGGUGACAUUUUCUGGGCUCGGUUCAUAAGCUGCUAGAGCAAUCUUCCAGGCUUCUUCUUCACGUUGCUUCCAAAAAUCAUCAAAUUCAGCAAUAUUUGCCCAUAACUUUGGAAUUAGGGUGAAAAAAGAAAAAAGGAAAACAACCCUUAGCUUAGUUACCUCCAUUAUUGUUCUCCUUCUAUAUGUUUCUCCUUUUUAGGGUAUUUUCUUGAUUUAAUUAUUUAGGUAAUAUGGUAAGCCCUAGGUUUUAAAGCUUAAUAAUAUAUAAAAAAGUGCUAAAACCUAAAUAUCUAGUACUCUAAAUUGCCGACUUUGGUCGGCUAAAGCCUUGAUUUUGAUAAGCCCUGAGUUUACCCUUAAAUAAACCAUCCAUGUAACUGUAUGGUUCUUAAAUUAAGGUGCAUUGAAUGGUAAGCAUUCUCAUUACAAAGUUAGCAACCAAAAUUUUCUCUACAAAACCAAAACUUGUUCAACCCGCAUUUUUAUGCAUGGAAAUCUUAGGUUGGCUUACUUAAUUUAUCUUCUUAAUUGCAUUAAUGUCGCCAAUUGGCAAAACUUUUAGCCAUUUUGAGCACCAAAAUCUAACUGUCAUUUUGAACAAAAAAAAAUUCAACAAUCCACUGACAAAUUACACUACUGUCAACAAAAAGUAUAUCAUUAUUCCACAUCAUACCACUGUUUGUAUCUUCUUUGCAUAAGCUUCAAAAUCCCAAAACAAAACACUAAAUCUAUUAAGUAACAAUGGGGCAUGACCAAAGUUCCUAUGCAUAAUUAUAUUUCAUUGGUUACUCGAACUUAGUAAUCAAUGUCUGAUAUGAAUUUGUAUUUGUCAUGAAAAUGUGCUAUUCUUUUAAGACUUCCAUUUCUUGUAGAGCCUUUGAAGGAUGAUAUCAUCAUAAUAUGUGUGAAAAUGUGCAAGAUGCAUACAUUGAAUAUUGGGUACUUCAAGAAAGGUAAAGAGCCAAAGCAGUAUAGCUAAAUAUUGUUGACAAUUUUGACAAAAAGUUAGAACUAUAGUUCAUAUGUUUAUGAACUUCUCUUAUAUUAAAGAGCUAUAUUUUUAUUUUUUGUUUAGUACACAAAAAACACACACCAAUAUUAAGGGAAUUAAUUGUUGUAAAAUGGAAAUUUUACCUUUUACUAAUCCUUGAUUAUUGUGAGUAUUAAACUUUCUCUAUUCUUUAUUCUUCUAAUCAAAUAAAUUAUAGGGAGUAGUAUUAAUUGUAUCAAUAUCUAAACAUAGAUAAAAACUGCUAGUUCUUUUUUUUUACCUGUGCAUUGUUUUCAAAAUGGAUAAUGUUUUUCCAAAGGGGCACAAACGAUUUUUCCAGUCUCCAUAAAAAAAUGUUAGUGAAUCUUUACAAGGUCAGGUGCGAAAGAUUAAGCUCAACAGAGGAGACCAAGCACACACCUGUCGAAGAAGGCUCCAUCAACACCAACACCCGCCCCUGACGUCGCCGGUGGCGCGCAUCUCAUCUGGGGUUGACAAAAAUUUAGCGUCGCCUGAGAGAUUUGAACUCUCGCGGGAAAAUCCCAUGUACUUAGCAGGCACACGCCUUAACCACUCGGCCAAAGCGACACUGAUAUAUCAACUAAAAUUAAGAUUAAAAUUAUAAAUAAUUUUAAAUGCUCUACGUGUGGGAAGAAUAUAUGGUCAGUUAAUAUUCAGGCAAUAAUAUAAAUAUUUAGUUCAAAUAAUACAACCUUUCAACAUUCCAAUAUGAAUGUUAUAAGGCAAAUUUUUAAUGAAUAGACUAUUUUAGUUCAUCUAACGUAGAUAGGAUCGAAAUUUUCAAUUUUUUUUGAAAUAUUAUUUGAUAGUAUAAGGAUUAAAAUACAACUUGAAAUAUAGUAUAAGGAUUACUAUGCUAUUUUUUACAAUAAUAUUUACGUGUAUAUGGUAUUUUGCUUUAAUAAUAUUUGAUUUUUAAAUUUAAUUUGAUUAAAGAUGCAAUAAUACAAUCAUUCUUAUUAUGUGUUUAAACUUGCAAUAAUUUCGUCAUAUAUAUUCAAAGUGAGUCUUCCAACAAAUGUUGUAGGCUUAGCUUUAGAUUUUAUUUUUUUUUAUGAAUUUCAAAUGGGGAGGUGAGGGUGGCCCAAUUGUUCUAAAAAAUGCUUCAUUCAUGAACAGUUCUCCUUAUGAUCUCCAAUUCCUCCAUUCAUGAACAAAUGUUACGUUUGUAACAGUAGUGACCAAUUUAUCAUUUUUUGAAAGUUAAGUGAUUGAAUUGAAACUAGAGUGACUGUUUCGUCAGCUACAUCAAAGUUGAGUGACUAUUGGUGUAAUUUACCCUUUUAAAAAUUAGUCUAGAAAUUUUUACAUCUAAUGCAUUAAUUUUAUUAAAUUUAAGAAAAUUUAAUACAUUGGUUACAUUUAUAUAUAUAUCCUGCUAGUCCACACCAUACUCACAUUUUCAAAGGAGAUUUAAUUUUUUUGAUCCAUCAAAGGAAAACAAAUUAUUGUGAACUUUUGUAGAACUGAGAGUUAUUUCUAGCACUUAACUCCUUCCUUACAUUUAAGAGUUCCAGAGAAUCUAGUGAGUCUUCCAACAAAUGUUGCAGGCUUAGCUUUAAUUAUAUCCUUCUUUUUGAAUUUUAAAUGGGGAGGUGAGGGUGGCCCAGAUGUUACAAAAAAUGCUCCAUUCAUGAACAGAUCUCCUUCUGAUCUCCAUAUCCAAUUCCUCCAUUCUGACUCUGGUGCAUAGUUCCUAUGGGUUAUCU